GACGAACGCUGGCGGCGUGCUUAACACAUGCAAGUCGAACGGAAAGGCCCUGCUUUUGUGGGGUGCUCGAGUGGCGAACGGGUGAGUAACACGUGAGUAACCUGCCCUUGACUUUGGGAUAACUUCAGGAAACUGGGGCUAAUACCGGAUAGGAGCUCCUGCUGCAUGGUGGGGGUUGGAAAGUUUCGGCGGUUGGGGAUGGACUCGCGGCUUAUCAGCUUGUUGGUGGGGUAGUGGCUUACCAAGGCUUUGACGGGUAGCCGGCCUGAGAGGGUGACCGGCCACAUUGGGACUGAGAUACGGCCCAGACUCCUACGGGAGGCAGCAGUGGGGAAUAUUGCACAAUGGGCGGAAGCCUGAUGCAGCAACGCCGCGUGCGGGAUGACGGCCUUCGGGUUGUAAACCGCUUUCGCCUGUGACGAAGCGUGAGUGACGGUAAUGGGUAAAGAAGCACCGGCUAACUACGUGCCAGCAGCCGCGGUGAUACGUAGGGUGCGAGCGUUGUCCGGAUUUAUUGGGCGUAAAGGGCUCGUAGGUGGUUGAUCGCGUCGGAAGUGUAAUCUUGGGGCUUAACCCUGAGCGUGCUUUCGAUACGGGUUGACUUGAGGAAGGUAGGGGAGAAUGGAAUUCCUGGUGGAGCGGUGGAAUGCGCAGAUAUCAGGAGGAACACCAGUGGCGAAGGCGGUUCUCUGGGCCUUUCCUGACGCUGAGGAGCGAAAGCGUGGGGAGCGAACAGGCUUAGAUACCCUGGUAGUCCACGCUGUAAACGGUGGGUACUAGGUGUGGGGUCCAUUCCACGGGUUCCGUGCCGUAGCUAACGCUUUAAGUACCCCGCCUGGGAAGUACGGCCGCAAGGCUAAAACUCAAAGGAAUUGACGGGGCCCCGCACAAGCGGCGGAGCAUGCGGAUUAAUUCGAUGCAACGCGUAGAACCUUACCUGGGUUUGACAUGGAUCGGGAGUGCUCAGAGAUGGGUGUGCCUCUUUUGGGGUCGGUUCACAGGUGGUGCAUGGCUGUCGUCAGCUCGUGUCGUGAGAUGUUGGGUUAAGUCCCGCAACGAGCGCAACCCUUGUUCACUGUUGCCAGCACGUUAUGGUGGGGACUCAGUGGAGACCGCCGGGGUCAACUCGGAGGAAGGUGGGGAUGACGUCAAGUCAUCAUGCCCCUUAUGUCCAGGGCUUCACGCAUGCUACAAUGGCUGGUACAGAGAGUGGCGAGCCUGUGAGGGUGAGCGAAUCUCGGAAAGCCGGUCUCAGUUCGGAUUGGGGUCUGCAACUCGACCUCAUGAAGUCGGAGUCGCUAGUAAUCGCAGAUCAGCAACGCUGCGGUGAAUACGUUCCCGGG
RNAcentral lists this ribosomal RNA (1343 nucleotides) under uncultured bacterium. Its description in RNAcentral is "16S ribosomal RNA". It matches the Rfam family "Bacterial small subunit ribosomal RNA", at positions 28 to 1378 of the family's 1533-position model. The record is from RNAcentral.